RNAcentral lists this ribosomal RNA (496 nucleotides) under uncultured bacterium. Its description in RNAcentral is "partial 16S ribosomal RNA". It matches the Rfam family "Bacterial small subunit ribosomal RNA", at positions 28 to 506 of the family's 1533-position model. The record is from RNAcentral.
GAUGAACGCUGGCGGCGUGCCUAAUACAUGCAAGUCGAGCGAACAGACGAGGAGCUUGCUCCUCUGACGUUAGCGGCGGACGGGUGAGUAACACGUGGAUAACCUACCUAUAAGACUGGGAUAACUUCGGGAAACCGGAGCUAAUACCGGAUAAUAUAUUGAACCGCAUGGUUCAAUAGUGAAAGACGGUUUUGCUGUCACUUAUAGAUGGAUCCGCGCCGCAUUAGCUAGUUGGUAAGGUAACGGCUUACCAAGGCAACGAUGCGUAGCCGACCUGAGAGGGUGAUCGGCCACCCUGGAACUGCGACACGGUCCAGACUCCUACGGGAGGCAGCAGUAGGGACUCUUCCGCAAUGGGCGAAAGCCUGACGGAGCAACUCCGCGUGAGUGAUGAAGGUCUUCGGAUCGUAAAACUCUGUUAUUAGGGAAGAACAAAUGUGUAAGUAACUAUGCAUGUCUGGACGGUACCUAAUCAGAAAGCCACGGCUAACUACGU